AUUGAACGCUGGCGGCAUGCUUUACACAUGCAAGUCGAACGGCAGCGCGGGCUUCGGCCUGGCGGCGAGUGGCGAACGGGUGAGUAAUACAUCGGAACGUGCCCAGUAGUGGGGGAUAGCUCGGCGAAAGCCGGAUUAAUACCGCAUACGACCUGAGGGUGAAAGCGGGGGAUCUUCGGACCUCGCGCUAUUGGAGCGGCCGAUGGCAGAUUAGCUAGUUGGUGGGGUAAAGGCCUACCAAGGCGACGAUCUGUAGCUGGUCUGAGAGGACGACCAGCCACACUGGGACUGAGACACGGCCCAGACGCCUACGGGAGGCAGCAGUGGGGAAUUUUGGACAAUGGGCGAAAGCCUGAUCCAGCAAUGCCGCGUGUGUGAUGAAGGCCUUCGGGUUGUAAAGCACUUUUGGCGGGAACGAAAAGGACUGUGCCAAUACCACGGUUCGAUGACGGUACCCGCAGAAUAAGCACCGGCUAACUACGG
RNAcentral lists this ribosomal RNA (483 nucleotides) under uncultured bacterium. Its description in RNAcentral is "partial 16S ribosomal RNA". It matches the Rfam family "Bacterial small subunit ribosomal RNA", at positions 29 to 506 of the family's 1533-position model. The record is from RNAcentral.